RNAcentral lists this long non-coding RNA (514 nucleotides) under Homo sapiens (human). Its description in RNAcentral is "long non-coding RNA NONHSAT214205.1". The record is from RNAcentral. Lineage: Eukaryota; Metazoa; Chordata; Mammalia; Primates; Hominidae.
GCCAGCAGACACGCAUGGUGGAACACAUGUGAGCAGGACAGGAGGGCCAUCUCUCUGGAACGCCUGCCUGCACCCACGCGCUGACCGCCAGCAGCGGAGAGAGGGGCCAGGCAGAUGGAGCACUCGUGGGUCUCCCGGCGCAGAGCCUGCGGCACACAGGACGGGAAGAGGCCACGCGGCUCCCUGCAGGAAGCGUGCCCUGCAGCAGGCGCGAACCACCCGAGCGGCCUCCACAUGCACCUAGACAGGCACGCCGGCUGGGUGCUCACACCUGGGCCCUUGCACCUGUGUCUGCCCAGAGGGGCUGGUCAGCACACCCUUUACAAUGAAGGCUCACAAAGUACACAACUCCAAGUGCCAGUCCAUGAAAGCAGUUCGCAUAGACUUUUCAUGCAGUUGAGUCUAAUUUAUAUUUUACUAUCCACUUACCCUAUGUAACCAAAUAUCAUUUUUACACUUAUUAACAAUUCAUACUUUUUUCUUCCUUAAGAGGAAUUAAAGCAUUUCCUCAAUG